RNAcentral lists this transfer RNA (73 nucleotides) under Desmophyllum pertusum. RNAcentral describes it as "tRNA-Leu". The record is from RNAcentral. Lineage: Eukaryota; Metazoa; Cnidaria; Anthozoa; Scleractinia; Caryophylliidae.
GACGCGGUGGCUUAAUGGUUAGCGCGUUGGACUCAGGAUCGAGCGGUCCGGGUUCAAGUGCUGGCCGGGGUCA